This 522-nucleotide ribosomal RNA is filed under the name uncultured bacterium. RNAcentral's name for it is "partial 16S ribosomal RNA". It matches the Rfam family "Bacterial small subunit ribosomal RNA", at positions 355 to 869 of the family's 1533-position model. The record is from RNAcentral.
UGGGGAAUUUUGGACAAUGGGCGAAAGCCUGAUCCAGCAAUGCCGCGUGUGUGAAGAAGGCCUUCGGGCUGUAAAGCACUUUUGUCCGGAAAGAAAUCCUUGGCUCUAAUACAGUCGGGGGAUGACGGUACCGGAAGAAUAAGCACCGGCUAACUACGUGCCAGCAGCCGCGGUAAUACGUAGGGUGCAAGCGUUAAUCGGAAUUACUGGGCGUAAAGCGUGCGCAGGCGGUUUGCUAAGACCGAUGUGAAAUCCCCGGGCUCAACCUGGGAACUGCAUUGGUGACUGGCAGGCUAGAGUAUGGCAGAGGGGGGUAGAAUUCCACGUGUAGCAGUGAAAUGCGUAGANGAUGGUGGAAGAUACCGAUGGCGAAGGCAGCCCCCUGGGCCAAUACUGACGCUCAUGCACGAAAGCGUGGGGGAGCAAACAGGAUUCAGAUACCCUGGUAGUCCACGCCUAAACGAUGUCAACUAGUUGUUGGGAUUCAUUUCCUUAGUAACGUAGCUAACGCGUGAAGUUGAU